GUACCGAUAGCUCAGUUGGAUAGAGCAACGGCCUUCUAAGCCGUGUGUCGGGGGUUCGAAUCCCUUUCGGUACA
Molecule: transfer RNA, 74 nt
Filed under: Catonella morbi
Lineage: Bacteria; Bacillati; Bacillota; Clostridia; Lachnospirales; Lachnospiraceae
Also listed under: 4 other names
Description: tRNA-Arg(tct)
Rfam family: tRNA
About the family: Transfer RNA (tRNA) molecules are approximately 80 nucleotides in length.
Source: RNAcentral